AUAUGGAGUGUUUGGGCCAUGAGUCAUUAGUAUAUUCUACCUGCUGUUUGAGUUGUGUUCAGUGCAUAGUUUGCUCCUGGGCUUUUAUUGGUAGGGAGCUCACAGAAACAUAAGCUUUCAAUUUAGCAUUCUGUAAUAUAAAAUGUGGACAUUUCAUUAGUGUUAUAUGUUUACCUCGUUUAGACCUUUUGUUACCUUCUCUGUACUCUGUUUUUUCUUUCUUUUCUUUUUUUCUUUCUACCACUUAGAUAUUUUUGUCAGUCCUUUGCAUGUUGGUUACUUCAGUGUCAGAAAACAGGAUCACACAAAGUUCUUCCUUAAAAUAUUUAAAAUGUAUGGGUGCAUGCCUGGUGUUGGCAGACACUAGAAGAGGGAGUCUGAUUCCCCGAGGCUGUACUUAUGAAUGGCUGUGAGUCCCCCUGUAUAUGCUGGGAAUGGAACUCCUUGGAUCCUCUGGAAGAGCAGUCAGUACUAUAUAUACUAAAGUUUUGUUCAGUAAAUUACACGCAGGUGUGUGUUUUGGCUGUUGGAGGUCAGAGGACAUUCUGCAGUUUCUUUACCCACUUUUGAUAAUACCAAGGAUUGCAUUCUUGUCCGCAGCCAUAUACACACUGUUCUGUUUUCAUUCCUUGAGACAGGCUCUUAUUAUGUAAUAGCUCCACUGGCUUCAAACUUGGGAUCCCAUCACUUUCAGUUGCUAUUAUGAAUGAAUUUUAACAUUGUAACUGAAAUGAUGUGUCUUGGUGAUUCAUGGGAUGGAGCACAUAGCCUAGCACAUGUUAAGGAAGUGCUGCCACUGAAGUCUCCAAAUAAUCCAGAACAGUUAAUAAGGAGAAAUUACAGUGGCUCCUUUUGUAUUGUCUUGGUAUCCUUUAAAAAACAACAAAAAAUAGACCACUAAAUAAAACUUUAGCAUUUGCAAAUAAAGACAUGGUUGGGUCGGGGCAUAUAAUGGGGCUUAGCUGGUUAAAAAAAGCAUUUGCUGUGCAAGCCUGAUGACUUGAGUACGUCCAUAGACAGUAAAGGUGGAAGGAGAGAACUGCCCUGUGUCCUCCAUAACUAUGCUAUGUUCGUACCCCCACUCCAAAUUGUGUACGUAGAUAUACUUCUAAAGAUUUUGGAAAAGACACAGGCUUGGUUAGUUUAAGAUUAGCUGUGGAGAAUUUGUCAUGAUGAUGUGGAUUGUCUCUAAUUUGUGAAUUAUCUUACAGUAUGUUUUAACUGCUUAGAGCUGAAAGUCAAGAUAUGCGCGCCUAGGCUGGCUUCAAACUCAGCUAUCUGAUCCUCCUGCCCUUUGCAUCUGCUGGGUUCACAGGUGCUGGGGAUGAACCUGUGCUUUUUUAGUAAGCUCCAGCCCAGCCAUUCGAAAUACAAACAAACACAGCUCUGUAGUCCUGAUUGGCCCAGAACCCAGAGGUUGCCCUUCCUCUGCCUCCUGAGUGCUAGGAUUAAAGUAUUAUUCACCAUACUGACUUAAUGAUUCUUUUGUUUUUAGUUUGGGUAUUAUAAAUACAAGAAUAACUAUCCAUGUUGUAGACCUGCUGUCUAGGAAACCUCUGUGGCAUACAUACUUGGUUUGUUGUCUGCUAAUUAGUUUGAGAGCCUCUUUGUAAAUGAAAUGCCCAAGUUUUGUUUUUGUCUUUUCAGUUUUU
RNAcentral lists this long non-coding RNA (1652 nucleotides) under Mus musculus (house mouse). Its description in RNAcentral is "long non-coding RNA chr5:29760528-29762180". The record is from RNAcentral. Lineage: Eukaryota; Metazoa; Chordata; Mammalia; Rodentia; Muridae.